RNAcentral lists this ribosomal RNA (590 nucleotides) under uncultured Dethiobacter sp. RNAcentral's name for it is "bacterial SSU rRNA". It matches the Rfam family "Bacterial small subunit ribosomal RNA", at positions 8 to 526 of the family's 1533-position model. The record is from RNAcentral. Lineage: Bacteria; Bacillati; Bacillota; Dethiobacteria; Dethiobacterales; Dethiobacteraceae.
AGAGUUUGAUCCUGGCUCAGGACGAACGCUGGCGGCGUGCCUAAUACAUGCAAGUCGAACGGUUUAGUUAUCUGUCAUCAGAAGUCAGACGUUGGGUAAGAGCGAAGAGCCUGGGGUAACACCUUAGGGAAAGAGUGAAGGGCCUGGCGGCUGGAAGCUGAUGAUGGACGACUGGAUAGUGGCGCACGGGUGAGUAACACGUGGGCAAUCUGCCCGGAAGACUGGGAUAACAGCGCGAAAGUGCUGCUAAUACCGGAUACCUUCACGAAGUCGCAUGACUUUGUGCAGAAAGUUUUUCGCUUCCGGAUGAGCCCGCGUCCCAUUAGCUAGUUGGUGAGGUAACGGCCCACCAAGGCGACGAUGGGUAGCUGGUCUGAGAGGACGAUCAGCCACACUGGAACUGAGACACGGUCCAGACUCCUACGGGAGGCAGCAGUGGGGAAUCUUGCGCAAUGGGCGAAAGCCUGACGCAGCAACGCCGCGUGAACGAUGAAGGCCUUCGGGUCGUAAAGUUCUGUCAAGGGGGACGAUAAUGACGGUACCCUUGGAGGAAGCCCCGGCUAACUACGUGCCAGCCGCCGCGGUAAUUC